This 468-nucleotide ribosomal RNA is filed under the name uncultured bacterium. RNAcentral describes it as "partial 16S ribosomal RNA". It matches the Rfam family "Bacterial small subunit ribosomal RNA", at positions 28 to 507 of the family's 1533-position model. The record is from RNAcentral.
GACGAACGCUGGCGGCGUGCUUAACACAUGCAAGUCGAACGGAAAGGCCCUGCUUUUGUGGGGUGCUCGAGUGGCGAACGGGUGAGUAACACGUGAGUAACCUGCCCUUGACUUUGGGAUAACUUCAGGAAACUGGGGCUAAUACCGGAUAGGAGCUCCUGCUGCAUGGUGGGGGUUGGAAAGUUUCGGCGGUUGGGGAUGGACUCGCGGCUUAUCAGCUUGUUGGUGGGGUAGUGGCUUACCAAGGCUUUGACGGGUAGCCGGCCUGAGAGGGUGACCGGCCACAUUGGGACUGAGAUACGGCCCAGACUCCUACGGGAGGCAGCAGUGGGGAAUAUUGCACAACGGGCGGAAGCCUGAUGCAGCAACGCCGCAUGCGGGAUGACGGCCUUCGGGUUGUAAACCGCUUUCGCCUGUGACGAAGCGUGAGUGACGGUAAUGGGUAAAGAAGCACCGGCUAACUACGUG